CCGUCGAUAGCUCAGUAGGUAGAGCGUUGGACUGUUUAGGCUUCUUCCUUGUGGAGAAGCCUUAACAUAGGUCCAAAGGUCGCUGGUUCAAGUCCUGCUCGACGGA
This is a non-coding RNA of Ixodes scapularis (black-legged tick), 106 nucleotides long. Lineage: Eukaryota; Metazoa; Arthropoda; Arachnida; Ixodida; Ixodidae. The record is from Rfam.